Molecule: ribosomal RNA, 524 nt
Filed under: uncultured bacterium
Lineage: Bacteria
Description: partial 16S ribosomal RNA
Rfam family: Bacterial small subunit ribosomal RNA
Source: RNAcentral
GACGAACGCUGGCGGCGUGCUUAACACAUGCAAGUCGAACGAGACGAUUGAAAGCUUGCUUUCGAAAGUCGAGUGGCAAACGGGUGAGUAACGCGUAGACAACCUGCCUUCGAGAUGGGGACAACAGUUCGAAAGGACUGCUAAUACCGAAUGUUGUAUAUUUUCCACAUGGAAGAUAUAUUAAAGAUGGCCUCUAUUUAUAAGCUAUCGCUCAAAGAUGGGUCUGCGUCUGAUUAGCUGGUUGGUGGGGUAACGGCCUACCAAGGCGACGAUCAGAAGCCGGUCUGAGAGGAUGAACGGCCACAUUGGGACUGAGACACGGCCCAGACUCCUACGGGAGGCAGCAGUGGGGAAUCUUCCACAAUGGACGAAAGUCUGAUGGAGCAACGCCGCGUGAGUGAAGAAGGGUUUCGGCUCGUAAAGCUCUGUUGUCGGGGACGAAUGUGCAGUAUUUGAAUAAAGUAGUGCAGUGACGGUACCUGACGAGGAAGCCACGGCUAACUACGUGCCAGCAGCCGCCGUAA